RNAcentral lists this transfer RNA (110 nucleotides) under Tenacibaculum phage Gundel_1. RNAcentral describes it as "tRNA-Tyr". It matches the Rfam family "tRNA". Rfam says of the family: Transfer RNA (tRNA) molecules are approximately 80 nucleotides in length. Lineage: Duplodnaviria; Heunggongvirae; Uroviricota; Caudoviricetes; Pachyviridae. The record is from RNAcentral.
AAAGGUAAAGCUAACAGGUCAAGCUACAGAUGGUAAUAUCUGUGAAGUACAGGUUCGAGUCCUGUUUAAGUCUAGGUAGUACAUGGCGGGUUCGAAUCCCGCUACCUUUC